This 453-nucleotide ribosomal RNA is filed under the name uncultured Skermanella sp. RNAcentral describes it as "partial 16S ribosomal RNA". The record is from RNAcentral. Lineage: Bacteria; Pseudomonadati; Pseudomonadota; Alphaproteobacteria; Rhodospirillales; Azospirillaceae.
CACGAAGUUAGCCGGGGCUUCUUCUCACGCUACCGUCAUCAUCGUCGCGUGCGAAAGAGCUUUACAACCCGAAGGCCUUCAUCACUCACGCGGCAUUGCUGGAUCAGGCUUGCGCCCAUUGUCCAAUAUUCCCCACUGCUGCCUCCCGUAGGAGUCUGGGCCGUGUCUCAGUCCCAGUGUGGCUGACCAUCCUCUCAGACCAGCUAAGGAUCGUUGCCUUGGUAGGCCGUUACCCCACCAACAAGCUAAUCCUACGCGGGCCCAUCCCAUGGCGAUAAAUCUUUGUCCCGCAGGACACAUACGGUAUUAGCUCCAGUUUCCCGGAGUUAUUCCGUACCACAGGGCAGGUUCCCACGCGUUACUCACCCGUGCGCCACUAGGGCCGAAGCCCUCGUUCGACUUGCAUGUGUUAGGCAUGCCGCCAGCGUUCGUUCUGAGCCAGGAUCAAACUCU